Long non-coding RNA from Camelus dromedarius (Arabian camel), 1132 nucleotides. RefSeq lists it as uncharacterized. The transcript has 3 exons. The record is from RefSeq and is a predicted model, not a curated record. NCBI's taxonomy places the organism in Eukaryota, Metazoa, Chordata, Mammalia, Artiodactyla, Camelidae.
UCUCCUGGAGAAAGGCGGAAGGAAUGCGGACCUUUCUGAAGUGACGGCCGCUCCAGCCUAUCAGAGGCAGGAUCAGGAAGGCGGGGCGGAAGACUGGAAGAAUGAAACGGAUUGACGGAGCGGGUAGCCAAUGAGAGGCUUGACUCAGACAGUACCGGACGAUUAGAGGACCUGUCCGGGAAGGGAAAUGGGGCUACAUCCAGGUGCCGCUGCUGCUGGGCUACCUUCUGAAAGAGUUGCUGGAUUCUGCUGUUCUGGGUCUUGAGCUGAGUCUGAGGAGAGCGUGAAAACCCUGAAGGAAAAUUCCUUCUCAAGUAAUACGCUGACAAGCGCCAUACCCCGGGAUUUGGCCGGAGAGGCGCGCCUCCUGGUGGCGAAUCGGAGAGCGGCUCGUGCGCGUCCCUUGCCGCUGUCCCGGGCUCCACGGAGGGAAGGGAAGAGCUUCUGGCUGCUGAGAGUUCCCUGUGCGCUACUCCUGAGGCCAGAGGGGCACUGGAGGUGGCCUUGAGGUCCCAUCCUAUAGGCUGAGGGAUUCAAAGGAGGAGCCAAAGAUGAGUAGCAACUUUCCUCCUCCUCCCCCCACUUCCUCCUCCUUUUAAGCCAUCACAUUUAUUUGACAGCAAUUCAGUCAUUUGUCAAUGAAUUGAGGACCGAUUGUGUGCCAGGUCCCGUUCAAAGCACUGGACAAAGGCCCUUGCCCUAAUGGAGGUCGCAUAGUGACUGUGUGAGAGAAAUCCAGUAAACAAAUAAAGAAAAUACAUAGCAUGUUACAUGGUGAUCAGUACUAAGCAGAAAAAUAAAUCCAAGAAGGGGAGACAGGAGAUAGGAGGAGUCCUGGCAGUUUGUAAAUAGAGUGGUCAGGAACCGUCUCAUUGAGAAGAGGAUGUAUGAGUAGUGAUAUGAAGGAGGUGAAGAGGUAAGUCUGGUAGGUAUCUGGAAAAAGAACAUUCUCGGAAAAGGGAAUAGUCAGUACAAAGGUCCUGAGGUUCCCAAGGCAGGACUAUUCCUGAUGUGUUUGAGGAAGAAGGCCGGCGUGGGGGCAGGGAAGAGAGAGAAAGGGGAAAAGAAAAGAGAAUAGUACCCAAAUGUGUUAAUAGGUUAGCAUUUGGUGGAUUUGGGUAAGGAAGACACA